Molecule: transfer RNA, 73 nt
Filed under: Fasciola hepatica (liver fluke)
Lineage: Eukaryota; Metazoa; Platyhelminthes; Trematoda; Plagiorchiida; Fasciolidae
Rfam family: tRNA
About the family: Transfer RNA (tRNA) molecules are approximately 80 nucleotides in length.
Source: Rfam by way of RNAcentral
AUCGCGAUAGCUCAGCUAAUAGUGCCUCUGUCCGGUAAGCAGAAUUCCACCGGUUCGAUUCCGGUUCUUGGUG